GGAAAGUAAAAGUCGUAACAAGGUUUCCGUAGGUGAACCUGCGGAAGGAUCAUUAUUGAAUGAAACACUUCUGGCUUUAUGCUGUUGUGCUGGCCCUUUGGGCAAUGUGCACACGGCUCUGGUCACUUGUUUCUUCUGUUCCACCUGUGCACUGCCUGUAGACACGCUGUGUCUAUGAUAUUUGUUAACACACAACAAUGUUAGUUGGCAUGUUAUAUAUAAUAAUAAAAUAUACAACUUUCAACAACGGAUCUCUUGGCUCUC
This 264-nucleotide unclassified non-coding RNA is filed under the name plant metagenome. Its description in RNAcentral is "partial contains small subunit ribosomal RNA, internal transcribed spacer 1, and 5.8S ribosomal RNA". The stretch from base 1 to 55 matches the Rfam family "Eukaryotic small subunit ribosomal RNA", at positions 1777 to 1831 of the family's 1831-position model. The record is from RNAcentral.